RNAcentral lists this long non-coding RNA (1556 nucleotides) under Homo sapiens (human). Its description in RNAcentral is "HSALNT0339084". Lineage: Eukaryota; Metazoa; Chordata; Mammalia; Primates; Hominidae. The record is from RNAcentral.
UCAGGCGAUCCACCCACCUCAGCCUCCCAAAGUGCUGGGAUGACAGGCGUGAGCCACUGUGCCCGGCCUAAAUGCCAGCUAUUAAAUAACUCAGGGACUGAAGGCUUGAGGACGCAUCAGGUUAAAUAGUAGUCAGUGCAGCCCUGGGAGAUGCUAAGCCUGGGGCUGCCACAGAUGGUGUGGUAUCUGGGGUUCCCCCAAGGCCAUCAGGCCACUCACUAGCAGGUUUCUGGGUGCCGAAGUGGAGCUCCAGGUCGAGGUAUUUCACCAUGUCACUCAGCUUAUCGUAGUCAGAGUCUUCCCCGAGCUGCGAGGGAGGAUGGGAGGUUCAGAGUAGGAGGAGCAGCAGCAGCUGGACUGGCCUCCCACUUCCCACCCUCUGAGGGCUGCCAUAGGGGCUUCCCGAGCAAAAGCACCCAUCAGGUGCUGGGAUAAAGCCCGGAGCAGGAGGAGACUGCAGGAGAAGCCAGAUCAUCCGAGUCACCGGGUGCUGAGCCAGCGCCUCCUGGGGUCAAUCGAGACUCAAGACUUGGAACACUACUCGUGCAGAAGCCAGCAAGGUGGGACUGCAGCGGGGGCAUGAAGGAGCUGUGAAGAGGCUAGAGCCAAGUAAGGGGCUACCGGAGGUGGCUCAGGGGUCUGGCUCUGUCAUCAGGUCUCCUUGGAGAGCGGUGAGUUCACCAGGGCUGCCCUGGGCAGAGUGAGCUGGUGCUGAGAGAACUGCAACUGUGACAGCCUAGGGGCCAGACGCUGGACACGUGGCUGUGAUGAAUGGCAUAGAUGAGAGACCGCCACACCUCGCCUCACCCGCCUCCCUCCACACCUGCUUGCGUGCCCACCUCCUCGUAGUCGUUCUCCGGGGUCAGGAAAUCAUCCACGAUGGUGACCCGGGGGCCCAGCUGCUCGCUCAGCACGUCCAGGAAGCGGAGAAACCAGGCCAUACAGAGAUAGGAGCUGAAGGGACACGGUGAGAAGUGACCAAAAGACAAGAGUGUGAGCCCUCCGUUAUGCCUGGACAGGGCCACUAGAGGGCUCCCUGGUCUACUGGUAACGCCAGUGCCUGGGAAGGCACCCGUUGCUUAGCAGACCGGGAAAGGGAGUCUCCCUUUCCUGGUGGAGUUAAAGAAGACUCUGCUCCACCACUGCUUGCCCGCCCGCAGCCACCCAGAGGCCUAACGCUGUCCCUGUGAUGCUGUGCUUCAGUGGUCACGCUCCUGGUCCGCAUUCAUGUUCUGCCCUGUGCACUCGGCUCCACCUUCUAGAUAGCAGCAGCAGAAUUAGUGAAAGUACUAAAGUCUUUAAAAUGCAUAGAAGAAAUAAUUACGUAAGCUGUCCCCUCUUUCUCUCCGCCUCAGCUACCAAAUAGGGAAGGGCCCCCUGUCUGGCGGACACGUGACUCACAUGACCUUACCUAUCAUUGGAGAUGACUCUCACUCCAUACCCUGCCCCUUUGCCUUGUACACAAUAAAUAACAGCACGGCCAGGCAUUCGGGGCCACUACUGGUCUCCGCGUCUUGGUGGUAGUGGUCCCCCGGGCCCAGCUGUCUUUUCUUCUA